Molecule: non-coding RNA, 62 nt
Organism: Sarcophilus harrisii (Tasmanian devil)
Lineage: Eukaryota; Metazoa; Chordata; Mammalia; Dasyuromorphia; Dasyuridae
Source: Rfam
GCCAGAGCAUGACGAGCUGCGCAGAAACCCCCCGGGGCCGCGCAGGUCCGAGCUCCCCUGGC